AGGUAGCGAAAUUCCUUGUCAGGUAAGUUCUGACCCGCACGAAUGGCGUAAUGAUUUGGGCACUGUCUCAACAGCCCGCCCGGCGAAAUUGUAGUACUGGUGAAGAUGCCAGUUACCCGCAACUAGACGGAAAGACCCCAUGGAGCUUUACUGCAGCUUAAUACUGAAAUUCGGUAGUACAUGUACAGGAUAGGUGGGAGACUGAGAAAUACAGGCGUCAGCUUGUAUGGAGUCGCUGUUGGGAUACCACUCUUGUACUGCUGGGUUUCUAACCUGCGGCCGUGAAUCCGGUCGGGGGACACUGUUAGGCGGGCAGUUUGACUGGGGCGGUCGCCUCCCAAAAGGUAACGGAGGCGCUCAAAGGUUCGUUCAGCACGGACGGAAAUCGUGCAAUGAGUGUAAACGCAUAAACGAGCCUAACUGCGACACCGACGGGUGGAGCAGUAACGAAAGUUGGAGUUAGUGAUCCGGUGGUAUGUGAGUGGAAAUGCCAUCGCUCAACGGAUAAAAGCUACCCUGGGGAUAACAGGCUGAUCUCCCCCAAGCGUCCACAGCGACGGGGAGGUUUGGCACCUCGAUGUCGGCUCGUCGCAUCCUGGGGCUGAAUUCGGUCCCAAGGGUUUGGCUGUUCGCCAAUUAAAGCGGCACGCGAGCUGGGUUCAGAACGUCGUGAGACAGUUCGGUCCCUAUCUGUUGCGGGCGUAAGAGAUUUGAAGGGAGCUGUCCUUAGUACGAGAGGACCGGGAUGGACGUACCUCUGGUGCACCAGUUGUCCUGCCAAGGGCAUAGCUGGGUAGCUAUGUACGGACGAGAUAAACGCUGAAAGCAUCUAAGCGUGAAACUCCCCCUAAGAUGAGAUCUCUCAUCCUUUAAGGAGUAAGGACCCAGAAAGACGAUCUGGUUGAUAGGCCGAAGGUGGAAGCGCAGUAAUGUGUGCAGCUGAUCGGUACUAAUAGUCCGAGGGCUUGACCUA
RNAcentral lists this ribosomal RNA (973 nucleotides) under human gut metagenome. Its description in RNAcentral is "bacterial LSU rRNA". It matches the Rfam family "Bacterial large subunit ribosomal RNA", at positions 1954 to 2925 of the family's 2925-position model. The record is from RNAcentral.